CAGCAGUAGGCAGAUAUAUGUCUUUUUUUCCCCUCUUUCCUUUUAUCUUACUUGUAAUCAAAUUUUUAUAGCUGGAAAUUUAUUGAAGGAGAAAAGGCGUGUUGCCUUUGUUGACUAGAAUAAUUGAUCUUCUCGUACUUGAAAGCAUUACCAGGUUCCUUCUUUCUUUGUUGUGUCUUCAAACUAUACGAAUCUUUCUUUAAGACCUACUUUCACAUAUUGAAUAACUUUACUUCAAGUAAUUUGAAUACAUGGACUUAAAUAAGGUACCCUUGUUCUCAUUUUCAUUAAAUUGCGACGAAAUGUCACAUAGCAAUCUUCCUGAUCUAAUCUCAGUUCUCUGAAUUUUUAGCACAACGUUUUGGAAACACCAAAAACAUAGAUUCUAAUCAAGUAUCCCAGAAAACAUAUAAAAGAUAUGCCAAAAUAACUUACUAGAAACAUCUGGAAAUAUUCAAUCCUUGUCAAGGGAACAUAUGAAAGAAUUUGAAUUGUCACCUAAUUAUAGACAAGACUUUUGGAGAAAACAUUUACAAAGUUGAGGAUAAAAGUCAACAAAACAGCUGGGACGAAUUAGAUAUUACCUAUAGAGCUGGUCCAGACAGUAAACCUAUUUUACUCUCCCCCGUCCUCAGUUCCCAACUGUGUGUCACCUAAAUCUCCUUCCUCAACUAUUUUUGAACACCACCUUACAUGUCACAGGUGCUGGACCUUGACCACCAGUGUUUUCANNNN
This 735-nucleotide long non-coding RNA is filed under the name Capsicum annuum. RNAcentral's name for it is "long non-coding RNA (CANN_LNC006211)". The record is from RNAcentral. Lineage: Eukaryota; Viridiplantae; Streptophyta; Magnoliopsida; Solanales; Solanaceae.